This 450-nucleotide ribosomal RNA is filed under the name uncultured bacterium. RNAcentral describes it as "bacterial SSU rRNA". It matches the Rfam family "Bacterial small subunit ribosomal RNA", at positions 354 to 796 of the family's 1533-position model. The record is from RNAcentral.
GUGGGGAAUUUUGGACAAUGGGCGCAAGCCUGAUCCAGCAAUGCCGCGUGCAGGAAGAAGGCCUUCGGGUUGUAAACUGCUUUUGUACGGAACGAAACGGUCCGGGUUAAUACCCUGGGCUAAUGACGGUACCGUAAGAAUAAGCACCGGCUAACUACGUGCCAGCAGCCGCGGUAAUACGUAGGGUGCAAGCGUUAAUCGGAAUUACUGGGCGUAAAGCGUGCGCAGGCGGUUUUGUAAGACAGGCGUGAAAUCCCCGGGCUCAACCUGGGGAUUGCGCUUGUGACUGCAAGGCUGGAGUGCGGCAGAGGGGGAUGGAAUUCCGCGUGUAGCAGUGAAAUGCGUAGAUAUGCGGAGGAACACCGAUGGCGAAGGCAAUCCCCUGGGCCUGCACUGACGCUCAUGCACGAAAGCGUGGGGAGCAAACAGGAUUAGAAACCCUUGUAGUCC